RNAcentral lists this ribosomal RNA (198 nucleotides) under uncultured bacterium. RNAcentral's name for it is "partial 16S ribosomal RNA". It matches the Rfam family "Bacterial small subunit ribosomal RNA", at positions 328 to 539 of the family's 1533-position model. The record is from RNAcentral.
ACGCUCGACACCUACGGGAGGCAGCAGUGAGGGAUAUUGGUCAAUGGGGGGAACCCUGAACCAGCAACGCCGCGUGAGGGAUGACGGUCUUCGGAUUGUAAACCUCUGUCCUCUGUGAAGAUAAUGACGGUAGCAGAGGAGGAAGCUCCGGCUAACUACGUGCCAGUAGCCGCGGUAAUCUGAGCGGGCUGGCAAGGC